UCUCCCCCUCACUCUCUCGUCGCUGGAUGCUCACUUGCUCUGUCUCCUUCCUAGAUGCUCACUCGCUCUCUCUCUCUCUUUCUCUCUCUCUCUUUCUCGCUCUUUCUCUACCAUGUGCUCGCUCAAGAUAAGUCUCCCCCUUCUCUCCCCCCACCCUCUCUCUCUUUGUCUCGCUCUACCCCCUACUGAGUGCUUGCUCAUGCUCUGCCAAACACUCACUAGAGGUAAGCCUUUCCCCUCUUUUUCUCUGUCCUUCUCCCUCCCUCCCUCUUCUCUCUCCAUCCCUCUC
Molecule: long non-coding RNA, 289 nt
Filed under: Elaeis guineensis (African oil palm)
Lineage: Eukaryota; Viridiplantae; Streptophyta; Magnoliopsida; Arecales; Arecaceae
Description: long non-coding RNA (EGUI_LNC058062)
Source: RNAcentral